This 546-nucleotide ribosomal RNA is filed under the name uncultured bacterium. Its description in RNAcentral is "bacterial SSU rRNA". It matches the Rfam family "Bacterial small subunit ribosomal RNA", at positions 355 to 896 of the family's 1533-position model. The record is from RNAcentral.
UGGGGAAUAUUGGACAAUGGGCGAAAGCCUGAUCCAGCCAUGCCGCGUGUGUGAAGAAGGCCUUUUGGUUGUAAAGCACUUUAAGUGGGGAGGAAAAGCUUAUGGUUAAUACCCAUAAGCCCUGACGUUACCCACAGAAUAAGCACCGGCUAACUCUGUGCCAGCAGCCGCGGUAAUACAGAGGGUGCAAGCGUUAAUCGGAAUUACUGGGCGUAAAGCGGUAGGUGGUUAUUUAAGUCAGAUGUGAAAGCCCCGGGCUUAACCUGGGAACUGCAUCUGAUACUGGAUAACUAGAGUAGGUGAGAGGGGAGUAGAAUUCCAGGUGUAGCGGUGAAAUGCGUAGAGAUCUGGAGGAAUACCGAUGGCGAAGGCAGCUCCCUGGCAUCAUACUGACACUGAGGUGCGAAAGCGUGGGUAGCAAACAGGAUUAGAUACCCUGGUAGUCCACGCCGUAAACGAUGUCUACCAGUCGUUGGGUCUUUUAAAGACUUAGUGACGCAGUUAACGCAAUAAGUAGACCGCCUGGGGAGUACGGCCGCAAGGUUA